UCUGCCAAUAUGCAUUCCUGUAUUUACAGAUAACCCACAGCAUAUGGCAUUUCUUUCCUGGCAGGUAUUAUGUGUGAGGCUCAGUUAUUGCAGUGGAGGAGAAGGAAACCCAAACAGAAGGUGCAAACCUAUAGGAAGUAGGCAUUCUCUAUUUCCUCCUUGGAGUCUGCAUUCCUGGGGCAGGGAUAAGUGGAAAGAACAGGCUUGCAAGCCCACAGACUGUGCACUGAACCAGCCUUCUCCUUCUCUAAUCAAUGUCAUCACCACUUUAAGAAAAACAACUGGUCCUGUAGUUUUCCCAGUGUAAAAGAUUGUGUUCCCUGGAUCCACCCAGGAUCUGUGGCACCAGCCCUUCUCUUAUGUGCCAUGCACAGAGAAGAUUUAAACGUUCUCCAGAUGAUUCUGGGCAUACCUCAGUGUCCAGGUCCUUCAGUGAAUCUUACCCUGGAAUCAAGAAGAGCAAUGGACUCUAUUAUAAAAUGUUGUGCCAAGAGUAGCUGUGUUGAUACCCUCCUUCCUUUUUGCCCUCAGAAGAAGGGCAAAAAUUGCCACCAUGAAGCAGAUCAUUCAUGCUGGGGAUGAAUGCCAUUGCUUUUGUAUGUUUCAAAUUUUUUGCAGAUUCCAAAAUUCCCCAUGAUGAUCUGGGAAGGUGUCUGUCACUCCAAUUUGCUCUGCAAUGAUAUUGACAGGAUUACUCUGUAAAACUGUAACAGAUCUGAAAUUAGAAAAAUGAGUACUUGAGUUCUCACCAGGCAAUGUAGGAGGGACCUCAAUAUUUUCUUUUGGGGCAGCUGUAAUGCCUUUGUUUUGCCCUGAGUUGGCUGCACUAGAAAAGAAAUGUUUUUGUGGUCAAAAACAACAAAAAGGAUUUUCUUAUCAAAAAGUUUGUUGUCUAGAAGUGGUUUGUCUGUGAAGUUCAGUUUUAUGGUCUGUUUUCAGCUUCUUGGUACUCUGAUGACUUUAAGAUAUGUAUCAAGCAGAAAUUGUAUCUCCUCUGGUGGAAAUUUUGUAUUUUUUCAUCUUCUACCUAUGGCUGAGAUCUUGCACCAUUGAGCAAUCUACAGAACCUUAAUUCCUUGACUUUGUUUUUAAUUAUCCUGCCUGAUGAAACAGGAGCCCAUUAUUUAAUUAUCUCUCCCACACAUACCCUCAACUAUAGUCACCAUUAUUUUAUGCAGCACCCUUCUUUCCUUUUGGAUGUCCUGGAUUCCUGGUCUGAAGAGCUUUAAUCACACAACCAUAACUACUUGAUUUUAGCAGGUUUUACACUGGCAUUUCAAAUGAUUUGAUUAAUAAAUGACAACUUGUGUAAAGCCUGAAGACCA
RNAcentral lists this long non-coding RNA (1325 nucleotides) under Zonotrichia albicollis (white-throated sparrow). Its description in RNAcentral is "lncRNA (ENSZALG00000016445.1)". The record is from RNAcentral. Lineage: Eukaryota; Metazoa; Chordata; Aves; Passeriformes; Passerellidae.